RNAcentral lists this ribosomal RNA (395 nucleotides) under uncultured bacterium. Its description in RNAcentral is "bacterial SSU rRNA". It matches the Rfam family "Bacterial small subunit ribosomal RNA", at positions 30 to 419 of the family's 1533-position model. The record is from RNAcentral.
AUUGAACGCUGGCGGCAUGCCUUACACAUGCAAGUCGAACGGCAGCACGGGAGCAAUCCUGGUGGCGAGUGGCGAACGGGUGAGUAAUAUAUCGGAACGUGCCCAGUCGUGGGGGAUAACGUAGCGAAAGCUACGCUAAUACCGCAUACGAUCUAUGGAUGAAAGCGGGGGGAUCGCAAGACCUCGCGCGAUUGGAGCGGCCGAUAUCAGAUUAGGUAGUUGGUGAGGUAAAGGCUCACCAAGCCGACGAUCUGUAGCUGGUCUGAGAGGACGACCAGCCACACUGGGACUGAGACACGGGCCCCAGACUCCUACGGGAGGCAGCAGUGGGGGAAUUUUUGGGACAAUGGGCGCAAGCCUGAUCCAGCAAUGCCGCGUGCAGGAUGAAGGCCUUC